Molecule: ribosomal RNA, 225 nt
Filed under: Triticum aestivum (bread wheat)
Lineage: Eukaryota; Viridiplantae; Streptophyta; Magnoliopsida; Poales; Poaceae
Description: partial small subunit ribosomal RNA
Source: RNAcentral
AUGGCUAUCAGCAAGAAGAGGAAGCUUAACACUUCUACAAGUCCAGAAGAAGAACCUUGCUCAGUUACUGGCAGCAAUGUAGAUGCAAGAGUUGCUGCAUGUGAAGAGCAAGUUCUCCCUCCAGUUGUUCCCCAAAUCCCUGUGAAACUGACUAGGAGCAGGGCUAGGGAGAUGACAAUCCCAGCUAGCAACACAAGGAGCAAGAAGGCAAAAUAUGGAAAAUGA